AUGCUCUCCACCGCACGCUGCAGUGUCCUCCCCGUCCGUCCGCAACCUUGCGUCGCCGUCCCCGUCCCCCGCGGGCGCGCGCGGGCGGUCACCGCCGUCUCGGUGAGGCCGCGCCGCCGAGGCGCGCGCCGGGACCGCUCGUGGGAGGACGACGGCGGCGGCGGGAGCGGCGACGAGGACGGCAUCGACGAGAGCUUCUUCGGGGACGCGCGAGACGAGGAAGACGAGCCGGAGGAGGAGGAGCCGGGGCGACGGGCGGCCGGCUCGCCGGAGUCGGCCGCGGGGCAGCUGCGCGGGUCCGACGUGCUGCGGGCGCUGCAGCGGGCGGCGGCGGCGAAGGAGGCCAAGAAGAGGAGCAGAAGGAGCGCGGGCGGGGCGCGGCUGGCUGCGCGGCGGCAGGGGAAGGGCGGCGGCGCGAAGGCCGCGGAGGAGGCCGUGGCGGGGGAGGCGAGGCCGAUAGAGAUAAGGCGCGAGUGGGCGCCGAGGAUCCGGGAGCUGGAGCUCAGGGUGCAGCAGCUCCUCCACAAGCACCAGUAG
RNAcentral lists this ribosomal RNA (537 nucleotides) under Triticum aestivum (bread wheat). RNAcentral's name for it is "partial small subunit ribosomal RNA". The record is from RNAcentral. Lineage: Eukaryota; Viridiplantae; Streptophyta; Magnoliopsida; Poales; Poaceae.